GUAGCUCAGCUGGUUAGAGCGCAGUCCUGAUAAGACUGAGGUCCCUGGUUCGAGUCCAGGC
This 61-nucleotide transfer RNA is filed under the name SAR202 cluster bacterium. RNAcentral describes it as "tRNA-Ile". It matches the Rfam family "tRNA", at positions 7 to 64 of the family's 71-position model. From Rfam's summary of the family: Transfer RNA (tRNA) molecules are approximately 80 nucleotides in length. The record is from RNAcentral. Lineage: Bacteria; Bacillati; Chloroflexota; Dehalococcoidia.